RNAcentral lists this ribosomal RNA (400 nucleotides) under uncultured bacterium. Its description in RNAcentral is "bacterial SSU rRNA". It matches the Rfam family "Bacterial small subunit ribosomal RNA", at positions 356 to 773 of the family's 1533-position model. The record is from RNAcentral.
GGGGAAUAUUGCACAAUGGGGGAAACCCUGAUGCAGCGACGCCGCGUGGAGGAAGAAGGUCUUCGGAUUGUAAACUCCUGUUGUUGAGGAAGAUAAUGACGGUACUCAACAAGGAAGUGACGGCUAACUACGUGCCAGCAGCCGCGGUAAAACGUAGGUCACAAGCGUUGUCCGGAAUUACUGGGUGUAAAGGGAGCGCAGGCGGGCGAUCAAGUUGGAAGUGAAAUCCAUGGGCUCAACCCAUGAACUGCUUUCAAAACUGAUUGUCUUGAGUAGUGCAGAGGUAGGCGGAAUUCCCGGUGUAGCGGUGGAAUGCGUAGAUAUCGGGAGGAACACCAGUGGCGAAGGCGGCCUACUGGGCACCAACUGACGCUGAGGCUCGAAAGUGUGGGUAGCAAAC